RNAcentral lists this ribosomal RNA (484 nucleotides) under uncultured bacterium. RNAcentral's name for it is "bacterial SSU rRNA". It matches the Rfam family "Bacterial small subunit ribosomal RNA", at positions 32 to 507 of the family's 1533-position model. The record is from RNAcentral.
AACGCUGGCGGCGUGGAUUAGGCAUGCAAGUCGAACGGUAGGAUACCUUCGGGUAUCUGAGAGUGGCGAACGGGUGAGUAACACGUAGGUGAUCUACCCUCAAGAUUGGGACAACCCAGGGAAACUUGGGCUAAUACCGGAUGAAAGCAGCAGUGAUGUUGUUUGAAAGGUGGCGUAAGCUGCCGUUUGGGGAUGAGCCUGCGCUCUAUUAGUUAGUUGGCGGGGUAAAGGCCCACCAAGGCGAUGAUAGAUAGGCGGCCUUAACGGGUGGUCGCCCACACUGGGAUUGAGAUACGGCCCAGACUCCUACGGGAGGCAGCAGUCGAGAAUAGUCUACAAUGGUCGGAAGACUGAUAGUGCGACGCCGCGUGAACGAUGAAUCCCUUCGGGGUGUAAAGUUCUUUUAUAUGUGAGCAGUGCUUCUUAUAUUAACAGUAUGGGGAGAGAGAUAUUAGCAUAUGAAUAAGCAACGGCUAACUCCGUG